AUGACUGAGAACGAGCUACCCAACGCAUAUCCCUCUGUGAAUCUGCAUUUUGUGUGUACCACAGCAGCCAUGGGAAGAAAAAAGCAGAAUAAAACCUGUUGUGGGGAUGAGGACUGUACUGACAUUAAUUCACGUGCUAAAGCCAUAAAGCCACCGCUGGAGUGCAGCAAGUGCAGAGCGAGGACUUUGCCCAUCUGGGUUAUCCCUGUCCGCUCCUGUGUCCCCUGUGUCCAUGCCAGCAGGAGCCCUGGGGAUAGGAGCAGGUGGUGGUGGCACCACACAGGCCCAUGGCAUGUCCUGGGAGGGCAGCGGGGGCUGCGCUGUGUGUGCUCCAGUGCCCAGCCCUCCGGAAGAGAAGGAAACCGGCAGAGACAGGCAGCUGAGGGACAGGCAGGAGACAGGAACAAGGUCAGCACAAACGCAGGAACCCCGGUCUCGGCCACAGACAAAGGUAACUCGGCACACGGCUCUCAACUCCCGAGCAAGCUGGGGUUUUGCUGGGAGAGCUCCCAGCGGGAAGUGAGCAGAGGCUCCAGGUCUGGCACCGUGAGGGCCAUCAAGGCCGAGCAUUGUCCAGCCUUGCAGAGGGCAAGCCCAAGCCCCAGGAUUUGGGCAGGGAGCCUGAGACAAGCCUCGGAAACUGGCGACGCUGACAUCGGCACGUCUGGCGUGUCCCACGGUGAUUUGGGUGGUUGUCAUGGGGCAAAGCAGGCAAAAAUAGGCUGUCCUUGAAUUGGGCAAAUGUUCUUCUCAUCUGUACGGCUGCUGCUAAAAACAGGCGACUUCUGGAGUGGAAAGGGUGAGAUUUCCAGUAAAGCUGUGUCCUCCCUGCUCCCCACACAGACUGACAUCAUGGGGCCAGCAUGGGGUGCCAGAGCUCAGCCAAGACUUACCCCCCUUCCUGGCCAGGACGAAGCCCACCAUUUAUCACAGUUCAUCAGCAGAUUACCGGCAGGCUGAGGCUUUUGGGACAGCGAUAGCGGCCAGUCUGCUUGGCCCACAACCAUGCAACAUUAGCAUUGGAUUCACCUCGGGUCCAGUGCUGUUUCACAGAGGGGUGGGAAAUAGAGAUAAUCAAAGAAACUCAACAGUCGCUCCAUUUUUCACAGAUUUGUCUUAAAUGGAAAAAAAUCCUACCAUAAGGCAGCAUAUGGGCUUUAUAGUUCUCCUGCUUUGAAAAGCCUAGAAGAAUGUACAGAAAACUGUCAAUACUGGGGUUUCACUGAAAACACAGCUUGCAAUUAUUAGAAACUUUUCAUGAACACUGUUUACUUCCAUUGGAAAACUCUGGCUUUCAGUCAAAAGUGAAUAAAUAACCAAAAUGGGAUGGAAAGUUUCCCCUC
Molecule: long non-coding RNA, 1343 nt
Filed under: Anas platyrhynchos platyrhynchos (common mallard)
Lineage: Eukaryota; Metazoa; Chordata; Aves; Anseriformes; Anatidae
Description: lncRNA (ENSAPLG00000020320.1)
Source: RNAcentral